Molecule: transfer RNA, 85 nt
Filed under: Neorhizobium sp. P12A
Lineage: Bacteria; Pseudomonadati; Pseudomonadota; Alphaproteobacteria; Hyphomicrobiales; Rhizobiaceae
Description: tRNA-Leu
Rfam family: tRNA
About the family: Transfer RNA (tRNA) molecules are approximately 80 nucleotides in length. Their secondary structure includes four short double-helical elements and three loops (D, anti-codon, and T loops).
Source: RNAcentral
GCGGACGUGGCGAAAUUGGUAGACGCAAGGGACUUAAAAUCCCUCGGCCUUGGCUGUACGGGUUCGACCCCCGUCGUCCGCACCA